ACCCGUUGUAUCAUAAUCUUUUCUGUUUUUCCUACAUUUUAUUAAAAUAACUAGGUGCAUAGAAAAUUAAAAACUACACUCUUACAAUACAAAAUUUUCUGUCAGAAAAGAUGCUAUACUUGAAAUUUGGUGCGAAAUUUUUGCAAGAAAAAAAGAAAAAAAAAGAUAUAAACAUCUUAGUAAAACCAAUAGCUCCAUCGCUACGCUCGGAAUCUAAAAUUGUAAUAAAAUCGUUAACGUCAUGAAUAUUUUGUCAUAUCAAAUGAAAACAACUUGAAAAAUGACCAUAGUGAAAACAACCAGAUUAAAAACGGAAUAAACAAAUUCUCAUGGCAUUUGUGGAUUAAUUCCACAUUUUUGUUGAAAAACUGUUAACAGACAGAAAAUAAAAAAGUAAAUAUGUACCAUAAUAAAACCAACACAUUUCUUGCUUCACUUAGAAUAUACAAGUUAGGACAAUUUUGACUUAACUCAUAACUUUUAAUUUUUUAUUAACUUAGUAAUUUUUAGAUUCUGAAAGAAAUGAGGAAUGUUUUGGUUGUGCAAUGAUGUUUUUUAUUUCAAUGUUUUAUCUGUGAGCAAUUUUUCUACCUGAAAUCUUGCUCUGGUGCACUUUUUCUUAAAAAAGUUACUCUACGGGUACAAUUAUUAGACCAAAUAGAAAUGUUUGAUAUGUAACAGGAGGUUCAUUAUAAAUUAUAUAAUUUAUAUAUACUCAGUGUUCAAUAAGAAAAAGUUGAAUUUAAUGGAGCAUUUUUUUUUUUCUAUAUAAGAAAUUUAAUAUAAAAAUUUGAUAAAAAAUCGUAAAUAUUAUGGCCUUUCAAAUCGAGUAUAACCGAUUUUCUCUUAGAAUUAUUGUUCGUUGGCGAUAAUUAAUCAUUGCAUACAGAUUUAUAUUAAGUUCCCCUUCUAUAUCUACCUAACUUCUCACCUACUACAGUAGCUCACCCAUCGAGCGAAGUACAUCCGUUUUUUUUGAAGAGUCAUAGUUUUUAAAGUUUUUUUUUGAAAUCCAAGACUUUAUGUGAAAUUCCGCAUUUAAACGAGUAUAAUAUUAUAAUAUUCACGGAAUUAACUCCCGUGUUUAAUAUAGAUCGUCCACUAUUUACAGAAAAUUAAAAAUUGCAGGUUUAAUUAUUUUCACCAUUAUAAUGACAAUUUUACAAAACAAUACACUUAAUUCAUGUUAAUAAGUUAAUAUCAAUGGUUCAAAUAUAAUUUUUAACGUAAUAUUUAUUUAAAUAAUAAAACAAUUAACUUUUUAACGGUAUUAACUCGUUAAGUUUUUUCCAAUCGACUUUACCACCAGAUAUUCUUCCUUUCUCGCCAACUUGUGUCUAUGCACUGUAAACAAAUACUUCUCAAUACGAUUUGGUGAAAAACAAUAAUUUUAUACGAAAACUCAAUAUAAUAAUUUACUAUGAAACGUAAAAGUUCACCAUCGUUUAUC
Molecule: non-coding RNA, 1450 nt
Organism: Cinara cedri
Lineage: Eukaryota; Metazoa; Arthropoda; Insecta; Hemiptera; Aphididae
Source: the annotation of a GenBank genome assembly